Molecule: ribosomal RNA, 433 nt
Filed under: uncultured bacterium
Lineage: Bacteria
Description: partial 16S ribosomal RNA
Rfam family: Bacterial small subunit ribosomal RNA
Source: RNAcentral
AACGAACGCUGGCGGCAGGCCUAACACAUGCAAGUCGAGCGCGCCCUUCGGGGUGAGCGGCGGACGGGUGUGUAACGCGUGGGAACGUGCCCUUUUCUACGGAAUAGCCUCGGGAAACUGAGAGUAAUACCGUAUACGCCCUUUGGGGGAAAGAUUUAUCGGAAAAGGAUCGGCCCGCGUUGGAUUAGGUAGUUGGUGGGGUAAUGGCCUACCAAGCCGACGAUCCAUAGCUGGUUUGAGAGGAUGAUCAGCCACACUGGGACUGAGACACGGCCCAGACUCCUACGGGAGGCAGGAGUGGGGAAUCUUAGACAAUGGGGGCAACCCUGAUCUAGCCAUGCCGCGUGAGUGAUGAAGGCCUUAGGGUUGUAAAGCUCUUUCAGCUGGGAAGAUAAUGACGGUACCAGCAGAAGAAGCCCCGGCUAACUCCGUG